Acanthosepion pharaonis is the source of this 91-nucleotide non-coding RNA. Lineage: Eukaryota; Metazoa; Mollusca; Cephalopoda; Sepiida; Sepiidae. The record is from the annotation of a GenBank genome assembly.
CGUUGAAACAUCGGUUCUCGUACGAUCACCAAAGUUAAGCAACGUAAAGCCUGAUCAGUACCUAGACGGGUGACCGCUUGGGAAUGUCAUG